Molecule: long non-coding RNA, 581 nt
Filed under: Nicotiana benthamiana
Lineage: Eukaryota; Viridiplantae; Streptophyta; Magnoliopsida; Solanales; Solanaceae
Description: long non-coding RNA (NBEN_LNC016075)
Source: RNAcentral
ACGAUUCCAAAAAUGAUACAAACAUAAUAGUAAAACAAGUCGCUACUAGCACUUGACCUUAUUACAUUUUAAGCAAAGAAAAUAAUCCUAAUCUAUUUUGUCCUAGAAGAACCUUCCCUUGAUUCGAAUUUUCGGACUCCGUCAUAUAGAUCCCCUUGCUCGCGUAGUCCAAGCAGCAAGUACGCUCUGGCCAGGUGUCCUCCCUCAACAUUCUGGCAGUUUUCGAUCCUCUUUAUGUCUUUGCCUUGUAGGUCCAUGAUUCCUUGCUCCAGGUAUUCUAAUUUCCUAUUGGAGGUGACCUAUUUCUUUCCAUUCUUAAAUCAACCUUGCGUUCUUCUCAUUUAUUUUCCGGUGCUCAUUUUUAGAGUCGUGAACCCUUUUGCAUAACCUGUUUUACUUGACUAGGGUUUCAGCUUCCUCGUCUAUAGUUCUGUUUCCUCGAUCGGUCCCUAGUGUCACUGUUCCUUUCAGGUUGUCCCCUAGCCAGGCCAGGUAGAGAGGCUCGCACCCUGCAUGAUAUCUGUCUGGCUCAAUGGUAUUCUUCUCCAUAAUGAUCUUGCAGUGCUACAUGUGAUGUGCUU